GGGGACGAGUGGUUUCGACAGGGGAAAUGGGCGACUCAGGAUUGCAGGCCGAGGUGCCAUCCUCCCUCGUAAAACCGGUGGCAACAAGAUAACUGGCAACAGUAUGAUGGUAGCGGCCUAACCAUUAGGCCACGUUCAACCUUGCCUCUCCUCGAUGGGCAAGGAUUGGGCGACGAAAGAUCGGGGUGCAGCGAUCCUGAUGACGAUAGGGGUUGCCUAAACUUAAUCGUCUGGCCUGCUCGAUACUCCACCAGCCGAGGACGAUCGGGCGAGAUAAAAAGCUGGCUAAGCUUGUAGCACAUCCCGGGCGGAUUUCUUCUGGACGGGGAGUUCGACUCUCCCCCGUCUCCACCA
Molecule: transfer-messenger RNA, 354 nt
Filed under: Dehalococcoidia
Lineage: Bacteria; Bacillati; Chloroflexota
Also listed under: 2 other names
Description: BS503 sp018725425 Standard tmRNA
Rfam family: transfer-messenger RNA
About the family: Bacterial tmRNA, also known as 10Sa RNA or SsrA, is named for its dual tRNA and mRNA-like properties. Its role is to liberate the mRNA from a stalled ribosome.
Source: RNAcentral